CACUUUUACUUAAUUUAUAUAAAAAAGGGUAAACUUCAAAUGCGUGGUUUUGCACUUUUUCAUUUUAGUAUUAUGUAGUUGAAACUGUAUCAAUUUAGUACCUUGUGGGUUUUUUUUUUUUUUUUUUUUUUUUUUUUUUUUUUUUUUUCCUCUAUUAAUUUUUCGUUAAAUCAUAUAUAAAAAAAACUUCAGAUAUCGCAUCUAUAGUUUAUCGAAUAUUCAUUUUAGUACCCUUUAGUUUUAAUUUUAUCGCUAAUUUAACGAAAAAAAUUAGUGAAGAGGAUAAUAAAAAGAGAAAAAUAAAACUAUAGGGUACGAAAGUGAUACACUUUAAAUCACAGGGUACUAAAGCGAGAAAGUGCAAAACUAUAGGGAUGGUAUUUGAAGUUUUUCCUAUAAAAAAUUAUUGUUUUAGUAGCUUAUUUAACGGUAGAUAUUUCAUAUUUAUUGAGGAAUUAAAUUAGAGAAAACUUCAAAUACCACUCCUAUGGUUUCGUACUUUCUCACUUUUGUAUUAUGUGGUUUAAAGUGUAUCAUUUUCGUAUCAUGUGGUUUUAUUUUUCUCUUUUUAUUAUCACAUCCAUUACUUUUUUUUUCGUCAAAUUAGUAACCGAGAUAAAACUAAAGAGUACUAAAGUGAAUAUUUGAUAAACUAUACGUGAUGUAUCUGAAAUUUUUGUAUAUAAUUUAAUAAAAAAUUUACAAAGGGACUGGCGAAAAGAGAAAAAUAAAAUCAUAAAAUACUAAAUUGAUACACUUUAAAACAUAGGAUACUAAAGUGAGAAAGUGCAAAAUUACUGGGUGAUAUUUAAAGUUUACCCAUAAAAUUAAAUGAACGGAUUAAUUGAG
This 849-nucleotide long non-coding RNA is filed under the name Ananas comosus (pineapple). Its description in RNAcentral is "long non-coding RNA (ACOM_LNC009805)". The record is from RNAcentral. Lineage: Eukaryota; Viridiplantae; Streptophyta; Magnoliopsida; Poales; Bromeliaceae.